GCCCCGCCCCUCCUCGAGCCGCGGCGGUCGGGGCCGCCCACGAAGGGGCUGCAUUUUUCAUCUGCAGCACGCUUUCUCUCAAGAAUCUCAAGCACACACAAGAAACCAGAGAGUAAAAUCACUGAGGCGUGAACACAUCCAGAGACCAAGGGCGUCACUGGCAGAAAAGCUUUUAGGCGGAUCCACGGCCCGAGAGCCACCCUGCCCAGAGACGCGGUUUCCUAGGAGCAGUUCACACGCGGCUCUGCAGCACCCACAAGCGGGGCCAGGGGCUGGUUUUCAUAGUUCACAGUCUGCAGGGAUCUUAACAAAAACAUGGCCGUGGUAAAAGUGCCUAGACCAGGCUUUCGUCACAACUCAUCAUGUUACUAGGUUAGGAUAAUAAAAAGGACUGUGAACUUCACAUCUGCCAUCUAUAAUAGAUUCUUAUUGUAGCAAUCUUGCACCAAGGGGAUUUCUUUAUUAACUCUGCCAAAUUUUCCAAAAUUACCAAAUGGAGAAAAGAGCUGGUCCCAUCUGUCACCAGGCACAACCAGGAAGUGUCAGAAGACUUUCAGAAGCACAUGCAGUUGCAGCUCCAGUGUUUCAACAGUUGCCCAUUUCCAAGGCCUCCUAAAUACGUAUGAGGCCUGUGGACAACUUUCUCCUCAGCUGUUACAGAACCUGGACAACUUGUAGUGAAGACCUUCCACACCAGUAACAUAUUUUGGUGAGCCAGUCGGGAGUUGGCUAGAUUAGUUCCCCAGUCUGUCUUCUCGCCACUCUGGAUGUCCACAUGAGAGGACCCAAGGUAAUUUCUGACAGCCUCGGGCUCCUUGGGAAAACCAGAGGGUGCCACAGACCCCGUUUUAGGAGAAACCUCUGUUUUCCUCAGGGAACCCCAAGACACAUAAGCAGACAGAUCCCUCUCAAAAUCUAAGGCUCUGCUCUGUUUUGUAUCACAUUACCUGAUCUUUUUGACUUUGGGGGAAAUUACAUCAGAAAUUACUUUAGUAGGGGCUGGGCGCAGUGGCUCAUGCCUGUUAUCCCAGCACUUUGAGAGGCCGAGGCAGGCAGAUCACCUGAGGU
This 1068-nucleotide long non-coding RNA is filed under the name Homo sapiens (human). RNAcentral describes it as "HSALNT0375464". Lineage: Eukaryota; Metazoa; Chordata; Mammalia; Primates; Hominidae. The record is from RNAcentral.